CAACACGUCUCCCGCGGGGCUGGAUCCCGCCGUGGGCCUGGGAUAGCUGCUAUUGAUUAUCUCCUCCUUGCCUACUUCAUUACGUUGGCAGGAGCCUCUCUCACCAGCGCCCCUCAACUUCUGCCCUCCCCAGUCUCCCCGGCCCAGCAGCACCCAGCUGAGCUCUCCUGGAGGUUUUGGUUAGUAAGCCGGGCUCUGCCAAAGAAUGUUUUCCUCGCGGGGCGGGGGCUGAGGCCCGGGGGCCAACGAGGUGACGAGCUCGGUGGCGGCGGCUGGCAGCUUGCCGCCCCAGCCCUGGCCCCCACCGGCCCCUUUAAUUGGAGUUCGCCGUGGAGCCAGGUGCGGCGCUGCGUGGCGCGGUGCGGCUGCGGGCGGCGGCCGGGAGCUCCGUACGCGCCGCCCGCGGGACUGCAGAGCCGGCUCCCGGCUGGCCGCCCGCACCCCGCCGCCGCCCGCUGCUGGGGUUCUGCCGGCGCUGGCCGUAACCCAGGAACAUGGAGGCCCCGGUGCCCAUCCGGAAGGGCAACGUCACACCUCCUGAGGACAGCCAGGACUCCAGCUUUUGCUGAGCUUUGCAUCUUGCCUCCUUCCUUCAAAAGGCUCCAGGCCCAUGCUCGGCUGUCUUCAAGUCCCGCAUGCCCCUGGCCAGGCAUCACAUCGCCCCUCCAGCCCAGCCCAGUCCUAGAGCUCACCUCCAGGACCCAGAAUCUGCCCUCCUGCCCAGAAUGACUCACCAUUAUUUCUAGCUGGAGUGAGAAGACGUGAUGGGGAGUUGGGCUGCCUGUUUGUGCAUCUAAGAUUCCUGCAGCAUCUGAUCAGCUCUGCAAGGAAGAGAGCUUCAGGUUCCUGUCUGGUCAGGUAAAUCAAUCUAUCAUUUAAUAACAACCUUGUGUAGAAUCAUUAGGGUAGAGGCCAAUGAGGAAGACCCAGGCCCAAGAUCCCCCACCGUGAAUACCUCCCUGGGUACGAGUAUCUGAGACAUUAGUGCAGCACCUGGGAGAGGGUCCACUUUUAACCUAUUAGCAUGGGGUUAUGCUCCACGAAGCCUGUGUGGUACAAGUGGGCCUGUACCAGCCACCUUCCCCCAGUGCAGGGCAUUCCAGAGGUUCCUUGAGAGAUUGCUACCUGCUCCCCCUGAUCCCCAGACAAGUUACAAGGUGAAAGUACAUUUUGCUUUGUCGUUGUGGUGGUGGUGAUCAUGUUUCUGAACUCUUGGCUGAGAGAUGGGAGACAAAAAGUGGCAACCCAUGUCGGGCUGCCAAUGCUGAGUAGCCGCAUGUCAAUAACUGCCUCUGUCUUUCAGCCAAGCGAGGCUGUCUCUCCAGCUCUCAGAGAGCUCUCGGGGCUCUCCUGCAGGAGACCAGGCCAAUGCUCCUGUGCUUCCUGGGGCCAGUAGCAGCACCCUGAGCUCCCUGCCACCAGGCAGCUGAAAGGCAUAGCGUGA
Molecule: long non-coding RNA, 1444 nt
Filed under: Macaca fascicularis (crab-eating macaque)
Lineage: Eukaryota; Metazoa; Chordata; Mammalia; Primates; Cercopithecidae
Description: lncRNA (ENSMFAG00000063982.1)
Source: RNAcentral